UGUUGGGAUUAAAGGCAUGUGUCACUACUGCCUGGCUGCUUUUAGAUAUUCUAUCCCUAUGUCUCAUCUAGAAGGUUCCCCAGUCUCUAGGCUAGCUGGCAAGAACAUGGUGUAACAGCUUCCAUCUCUCUGUGACAUAAGAUGGUUAGUGAAGAUCAGAACUUCCUUCCCAGGGGUGUCACUCAGGUUACCUCCACCUGGGGAACCUUUUAAAAGAACAGUCUUCAUAGCAGGCCUUGAACUUUUUAUGGGGUGUAGAGAGUGGUAUCUCAGACAAGGUCUCUUUGUGUUUCUUACAUUAGUCCUGAUCUUACAACCCUCCCGACACAGCCUCCCAAGUUUAGAAUUACAAGUGCGAACCACCAAUCAAUCUGGCUAGGAACCUUUGUACAGUACAUCCCCACUUUGAGGUGAGCUGGUGCCUUACUGUACACAUUUAUCUUUUUAACAAAGCAAUACACACCCUUGGGAAAAGAAUGGAGAUUAGAAAAAAGAGUGAAAAUGGCUUCUCCUGUGUCCUACUCACAACUGUUCCCACAGAGGCUGCUGUUGAAGCUGAGAUUCGCCUCUACUGAGUUCCGUCCCUCCAUCUGAGUGCAGCUUUAUAGACUACAGGUGCCCUUCCUUUACUAAUUAGUGGUACCAACCACGCCCAGCUUGCACUCCAAGGAACCAUGCAUCUAUAGCUACAUGCAUGGACAUACCGCCUCUCUUUAAAGGCCACGUUCUAUUAAGCACUUCCUCCCCAGCUGUCAUGUGACAGGCGAUUUCCCACAGGUAACCUCUGUUCACACAGGAAGGAUGAAUUCUCUAGAGUGUGGUGCUCUGUCGAAGGCUGCCGCUUGGUCGAUAGGCUGCGGUCAUGGCCCACACCAUUCCAGAUCUCUGCUGUCUGGGGCACAAGGAGGACAUCUCACUGUCGUCUGUUCAGCAGCCUAUUACAGGGCCCUGCCACCCAUCACUGAAAGGACAGGAAUCUCUGUAGGCUGUGGAAGUCCCAGAGGCAGUGCAGGUGGCAGAAACAAGCCUGUAAGCUCAAUUCUUGAGAGGCUGAGGCAGGAGCAUCACCAUGGGUUUGAGGCCAGCUGGGAUACAAAUUGAGUUCAAGUCCAGCCGGAGUUACAGAGUGAUACUAUGUCUCAAAAAAAUAAAAUAAAAAAUCAAGGUGU
Non-coding RNA from Cricetulus griseus (Chinese hamster), 1169 nucleotides. Lineage: Eukaryota; Metazoa; Chordata; Mammalia; Rodentia; Cricetidae. The record is from RefSeq and is a predicted model, not a curated record.